This 87-nucleotide transfer RNA is filed under the name Camelus bactrianus (Bactrian camel). It matches the Rfam family "tRNA". Rfam says of the family: Transfer RNA (tRNA) molecules are approximately 80 nucleotides in length. RNAcentral also lists the same sequence under 3 other names. Lineage: Eukaryota; Metazoa; Chordata; Mammalia; Artiodactyla; Camelidae. The record is from Rfam by way of RNAcentral.
GAGGGUAUAGCUCAAGCAGUAGAGUGCAUGCUUAGCAUGCAUGAGGUCCUGUGCACAAGGUCCUGGGUUCAAUCCCCAGUACCUCCU